Sciurus carolinensis (gray squirrel) is the source of this 2374-nucleotide long non-coding RNA. RefSeq lists it as uncharacterized. The record is from RefSeq and is a predicted model, not a curated record. The transcript has 3 exons. Lineage: Eukaryota; Metazoa; Chordata; Mammalia; Rodentia; Sciuridae.
CCUCGCAGCGAUGGAGCCGGCUUUCCCCUGUCCGUGGUUCUUGCUGCCUCCAAAAUGCCGCUGGAGAACCUGGAGGAGGACGGUCUGCCAAAGACCCGGAGCACCGCGGAGACCAAGGGACGCGAAGAGCUGAUGGCGGCCGUCCGCGACAACUACAUGACUCCUUAUUAUGAAGCCUUGUGCAAACCCUCCACUGGCAGAUGGACAUGGACCUCCUCAAUAAGAUGAAGAAGGCAAAUGAAGAAAAGCUGAAGCGUUUGGAUAAGGAGCUGGAGGAUGCAGAGAAGAAUCUGGAGGAGAGUGAGAUUCAGGAUGCAAUGAUGCAAAAGCUGAGUACCUGUGUCGGAUUGGCGACAAGCCAAUUCACAGGCAUGGACCAAAAUUCCAAGCAAAAUAUGCACUUUCAAGACAACUCAAAUGAUGCAGAAAAUAGAAGAGCAAAGAAGAUAACCACCAGCACUCCACCAGUGCUGAAGAGCUCUCCAAACAUCUUUUAUUCAUUCAGAAAAUGUGAUGACAAAGUACCAGACUGUGUUGCAGGGACCAGGAUUCCAGCAGUAGAACUAAGCCUGGUUUUGGAAGUCACAUUUAGAAGAACAGCUUCUUGGAAAUGGGCCUAGGUCCAGCCAUAGGAUGGAUCCACACUUGCACUUUUGAAGUUGUUUUGUCCAUUCCACUAGGCCCGUGGCAUCUGGCUGCAUCAGUAAAUAGGGACUGACCACAGAGGAGCCCAUCAUAUUAUGGGUCAGCUGCUCCCCCUCAGUCCUUAACUGGUAUCAGCUUGGACCCUUUCCAUGUCUCUGCUCUUAGGAACGUGGAUUGCAUGUGGAUGAUGUGAGGACCCACGUGCUUUCCAUACUUGUGUGAUUAUUUCUUAAUUCAAAGCCCUAGAAGAGCUGUUGCUCCAUGAAGGAGUGUGGACAAUUGACAUCUGGAUACAUUCUGUAGGGAUCAGAUCAUUUAUUUCUCCAUGACAUUCUGAAUACUGAACAGAAGCCCUGUGGGGGCAGAAGGAGUAAUAUCCUUCCCUUGGCUGCUGCCAGCUUCAUGACUGAGGUCGCCGGGCGAGGUGGUGCAUGCCUGAAAUGCCAGCAGCUCAGGGGGCUGAGGCAGGGGAUUGCAAGUUCAAAGGCAGCCUCAGCAACUUAGUGAGGCCCUAUGCACCUCAGUGAGACUGCUGUCUCACUGACGGCAGUGAGACUGCGGGUGUGGUUCAGUGGUUAAGCACCCCUGGUUUCUAUCUGUGGUACAAAAUCAAUCAAUCAAUAAGUAAAUAGAUUAACCGCCCAAAGCAUGCAGAUGUACUUAAUGUAAGUUCCAUGGGACGUGCGAGCCCUGGAAAUGAAGACCCAAAGAAACAGGCAGCCUGUUUGUUUUGGUGCUGACUUGGAUGAAGAGUGGUCUCUCCUGCAGAAGCUUCCUGGGACACAGGGGCCCUGAGCCUGUGGUAACAGACUGGGGUGAGCAGCAAGGCCCAGUUGAGAUUCUUCUCGGUUUCUGUUGAGAUGAGACAACACCUAUUGUCUCAGGAAUGGAAAGGGCACCUUUGGACAGACCUACUUUGGAGGAAGGAGAGAUUUGCUUAUGGGCUGAUUCAGGACAGAAUAUGGCAGUCAUAUUUCUUGUACUGUCCUCUGAAAGGACAAGGUAUGAGGCCUGUCUCCCCUCUGUCAAAAUGUGCUUUUUUAUAUUGUUUUUCAUUUUCUGUUUGUUUGUUUGUUUGUUAUUGGUACUAAGAAUUGAACCAGGAAUGCUUAACCACCGAGCCACAUCCACAGCCCUUUUUAAAUUUGAUUUGGUGACAGGAUCUCACUGAGGUGCGUAGGGUCUCACUGAGUUGCUGAGGCUGGCUUUGAACUCCCUCCUCCUGCCUCAGCCUCCCAAGCUGCUGGCAUUACAGGCGUGCACCACAACUGGUGGAUGAUUCUUUCAUGGAUAAGCUUUGCUCACAGUACCUCAGCUGCCUUCUCUUUGCCUUGCUUUAUCAGUGAUUGAGGAUUUUUUUCACAUCUGUAUUAACUAGAAAUCAUUCCUGUUUUAUGAAUUUCCAAUGCUCUGUGGAUCUCUCCUCAUCAGUUCAUAAGCAACCAUCAUAUUGUAUAAACUGUAAUUUUUUCAGGUACGCAGUUUCCCCCUUGGUUAUUUUUCUGUCUUUAAUGUUUUCUAAGCAUAUGAGUGUACAAUGUUCAUAGAGUUAAGUCAAUCAGUAUCUUGUGAUCUGUGAUGGGAAUUGGAGAUGUGAUCACAAACUGUUGGGGGCUGUGCCAUGCGGACUAUGCCAAGAUGGCACCUGGCAGCCAGCCAAAGGUUGUUUUGAUCACAUCGGUGGUGAGGAGGUUGAUUAACAUAAGCACAGCCAGGUGAUUUAUCAUUG